Molecule: ribosomal RNA, 431 nt
Filed under: uncultured Ahrensia sp.
Lineage: Bacteria; Pseudomonadati; Pseudomonadota; Alphaproteobacteria; Hyphomicrobiales; Ahrensiaceae
Description: bacterial SSU rRNA
Rfam family: Bacterial small subunit ribosomal RNA
Source: RNAcentral
AACGAACGCUGGCGGCAGGCUUAACACAUGCAAGUCGAACGCUCACUUCGGUGAGAGUGGCAGACGGGUGAGUAACGCGUGGGAAUAUACCUAUCAGUACGGAACAACAGUUGGAAACGACUGCUAAUACCGUAUACGCCCUCCGGGGGAAAGAUUCAUCGCUGAUAGAUUAGCCCGCGUUAGAUUAGCUAGAUGGUGAGGUAAUGGCUUACCAUGGCGACGAUCUAUAGCUGGUCUGAGAGGAUGAUCAGCCACACUGGGACUGAGACACGGCCCAGACUCCUACGGGAGGCAGCAGUGGGGAAUAUUGGACAAUGGGCGCAAGCCUGAUCCAGCCAUGCCGCGUGUGUGAUGAAGGCCUUAGGGUUGUAAAGCACUUUCAACGGUGAAGAUAAUGACGGUAACCGUAGAAGAAGCCCCGGCUAACUUCG